AUUCCAGCCUCUCUUAAAUUCUCCAUCCCCACUUCGCCAGAUGAAAUAAUAACAUGGGUCACGGGCAUUGUGUUAUUGCACACUGACCCACAUAUAUUCCACGGUACAAUAUGUCCACAUAUCAUAACUGAAGUUUAGUCAGUAACUGAACCCAACCAAUCGGCUAAUAUAAGCUUCCUUUGGGAUGAUGGCUGGAAACCCUGACAUUCCUCCAUAAGCCGUAGUGAUUAUUCUGAACUUGUACAUAAAAAAACAAAAUUCCAAGCAAGCAUCUGCCGAUCACCUUCUCCCCAUGCAGACUCUUUUUCCUGCUCACAGGGACUGGUCUCCUUGGAUCUGACCUGAGGCCAUUUCCAGGCCAGAGACACCAUCCAUCGUUCCCCCCCCCCUCUUCCCACAUAGCAGAUCCAUCCUCACGUGGGAGAGAUGGUGCCUCUCCCAACUAAGCUCUACAAAUUAAACCAGGCGGUGCAGGCUGUUGAAGCAUAUCUCCCAUACCCAAGAUCCACCCACCCAGCCUAUCUGUCUACCCCUCCCGCAUGACUGGUGGGCAGGGCUGCCUCCAGCCAGAAUGCUCCUCGCUCCCCUUGAUCAGGACAGAUUUCAAGCACACAGAGACCAGGAGCUGCAACAUGUCACAGAGUCCCAGCCAGCCAGAAGUCCCUGCAAAAGGACAAGGCACUCCAGAUGCUUCCCCAGAGGAGCCCCCCUGUGCUGAACUGAAAGCCAACUUUGAAAAAUGGUGAGUGGGGCAUGGAAGAUACCAGCAGUGAGUGUUAAAGAAAAGGGAGAAGAGGCAUGCAAGGAGCUGCUGGAGACAUAUCAUUCCUGCCUGCGGGCACUGGGCAUAGCUCACCCGGAUCUAAAAAAUGGUCCCUAGGUGAGUGUCCCUAUACUGUUUGGACUUCAGGGGUAAAAGGAUUGGUGGCAGCAUUCAGUGGGAAUAUGGCAAGUUGCAAUACAGAAUAGCUGGGCUAUAGGGAAUUAACUUAGUCAGAAAGAGGGAGUGUGCAGCAAUUAUAUUAUCUUGGAGGAAAGGAUUUCACUUUCCACUUUAUUUAAAAGACAAAAGGCAUGUAGAAGUAUAGCAGUUAUUGCAAUGAAACUUUAUCCCUUGACUCCAUUUUUAAAUGCAAGCUUCCAUGGUAUCAGGGUGCUUAACAAGGAAAACAAGCCAUAGAUGGAUAGGAAUAUCAGGAAUGUGGGAAGAAUGAGAAUCUCUGUUACUAGGGAGUUUCUGAAGAUAAAUAGUAUUGGCACUAGUGGGAAGGUGUUAACACAGGAGAUUUGCUUGACUCCACACAUAUUUUCUACACAAGAAGAUAAAAAGAGAGGCAAAAACUUCAUCAAGUAGAUUUAUGCAAGACAAUGUAUAUUAAAGACAUAUGGUUCCUGAAAGAGAAAACAUUAGCAAUACUUAAUCCAAGUUCAGAUAUUGACACAGGAGCCCCCCAAAACAGUUGCUGUGUUCAAAUAACGUUAUAUCUAAAUAAACCACAUAUACUAUUUGACGACCCAAUUUGGAACACUGGAAACCAAUGGUUGGGUUCCCACCAUAUAAUGAUUAUACUGAUAUACUGAUUACAAGCCACCAUACUCCAUUUUACCCUAGUUUGUAAUGUGAAUCCAAUUGUUUGCUGGCACUCCACCCCACCCAUUUGCCAGGAAAGCUAUGGCUUAGCCCAAGGGAAGAAACAUUAUAUCCCACAGAAGUGGGAGGAUACACCGACAUUACUCUAUGAUUUUCUAUUACAUUUACAGCCUCCAAAUCACUGGGACUCCCAGACAGCCAUGUUUCCUUUCCCAUAGGGACUCCAGAAUGCUCAACCAACAGUAAGCUCAGCACUGAUUCACCAUUCUCAGCAGGCACUACAGAAGGAGUUCCCAACUUCAAUAAAGCCCCUGUAUUUUAUUCUGACCGGACAUGUUAAAUUACUGAGUUGGAAAUCUUCUGAUUUUGGCAUAAUGUUCUCAGAUUUUUGGAACCCUCACCUUUGCCAUAUUUGCUUUGUGCAGUAGCACUCAAGGAAAAAUAAAUCCGCAGAAGAGCUUUACAUUAAACAGCCUGCUGGAGCCAUCCCAUGAUCGGGCAUCCUUCAGAAUCACCACUUCCACCAUCCCUGGGACAUCCUGGACACUGCGUUUCCAAACAAUUCAGAUCUCAGAUGACAUUCCACCUUGGAUCCUGGGAAUCAGAAGCAUCCCUCCUCCAAAAAUAGUAAUUAAAAAUAAAGACAAGGAAAAAGAAAA
This is a non-coding RNA of Thamnophis sirtalis, 2250 nucleotides long. The record is from RefSeq and is a predicted model, not a curated record. NCBI's taxonomy places the organism in Eukaryota, Metazoa, Chordata, Lepidosauria, Squamata, Natricidae.